RNAcentral lists this long non-coding RNA (377 nucleotides) under Homo sapiens (human). Its description in RNAcentral is "HSALNT0355712". The record is from RNAcentral. Lineage: Eukaryota; Metazoa; Chordata; Mammalia; Primates; Hominidae.
GAGCGACAGAGCAGAGGCACCUCCUAGGGACUGGGGCUCAGACGACCUGGCUCUGGGAGCUGGGAGAUGGGAACAUCACUAGACCACGAGCCGGAAUUGCUGCAGGAGGAUUCCCACACUCUGGGCCUCCGUGGGCACCACGAGGACUGGACGUGCGACCCCAGCUCUCUGGGUCUCAGUUUCGUCUCCUGCAGAGCAUCUGAGCUAGACCGUCUCUAAAAUUUCAUCAAGCUCCUGUAUUCCAUUCUAUUCUGAGAUGCCCAAUUCUUAUGCCUGCUAAAAACCACAGUGAGAAAUAAUAACCUAUGUCCACAUUUUUGUUUCCUAGGAGAAAUAUCAACAUGCGUCUGCCAAAUAAAAUAUUGUAUUAAAUGAGU